Molecule: long non-coding RNA, 1739 nt
Organism: Carya illinoinensis
Lineage: Eukaryota; Viridiplantae; Streptophyta; Magnoliopsida; Fagales; Juglandaceae
Exons: 4
Source: RefSeq, a predicted model, not a curated record
GUCAAAUUAUCUGUUCCUACAGUGUUUUUCUUUUUAAAGAUCAACCGGGCCUGGACACGGGUAUUCGGAUAAUCUUACAUCUCCGGCGCAGUAAGACUCGUCACCGAACUGUUGGUACUGUCCUUAUCAACGCCUCCUCCGAACGUCCGUCACUAACAGUAACUAAGAUGGGUUUUGUUUCUGGCACUUUCUUUUCGGCUUGAACAAGAUUUCAGUCGUCACUGGUCAAAAUCAAGCGAUAUAGAAGCCGUUUGAUGAUAUGUUUGACAGAGCCUCCGAGGGAUCCACGACUGCUGCAGUCUUCAGUGCUGUUGCGCGAGGGCAGUUUCUGGGUAGAUUCUUCAUCAGGGUUAGGAGGAGCAAGUGUAGCUGUUACAACUGUGGUCCCAGAUGAUGCGACCAAAAUAAAAGAAUGUUCUUGAUUGUUACCAAGGGGAAGAUUCUUGCUUUUCUUCCAGCUUUCAACCUCCGAUGAAAGAGAGACACCCAUAUCUCCAAAAAACCAUAUGAAAUUCACGAAAAUAAAGAAGUCGGGGAAAGAGGCAGACGGGACACUGCUUACAGCCCACAUUCAGUCAUGGAAUAACGUCAAAAAAGAAGACUUGAUGAUGAUUGAACUUUAGCUUCCACAAGCAGCCAGGGUAACAAAACCUCUUGGCAUCAGCCACUGAACCCCAACAAGAUUCAUUUCUUUGGAUGAAAUCUACCAUGAUACCUUUAUGUUGUUUCAUAAAGCUUCCUUUUCCUUUUUACCAUAGAUAUUCUUAAUGAAGAUGGCACUCGCUUCACCCCAAGAGACAUAACCCCGGAAAAUAUCAAAGAGUUGAUAGUGAAAGAAACAUGGUCUGGCGUGCAAUGAUGCAGGCGGGAUUCAGGAAUUGCCAAUUAUACAUGUUGGUGAGGAGUCGUUUUUUGAGAACACUCCCUUGAGAUGGGUUAUAUACUUAUAUUCGUCCUGUUUUUACUGCAUAAACGUAUAUCUGAUCUCCACGGUGCAGAAGCCUCAUGGUAGAGAUUCAACUGGUGUAAGCAACCCAGAAUGCAGUAUAUGUAUACGUAACAUGUCCUCAAAUCCAAUGUAUUGGAAUUGUGAUAGGAAUAGACAUAUAGCAUCAUUCAAUUCCGUUUCACGCUCCAACCUUAUCCACUCUUGCCGGCGAGCAGGGUCAACCUGCGAUGGCCAACUUACUGGGUGCUCUCGCCUUGUAUGAUUCCUGAGUUGUACAUAAGUCCCACAAAAAUCACACGCCUCAUAUGGACAACUCCUUGCUUUGGAAUUCAUGAAGUGGCGUGCAGGCUCUAUGACAUCCCAACCACUGACUUGCCCUCGACAGAGAGGGCAUACAAGCUUGGACUUGCUCAAGGGAUGGGCUUCUUGCUGUUUACUGGAAGAAGCACAAAACUGCGAGAGGCAGUUCGAGUGGCGGUAGCUUGUAUUGCAAAGGUAGGGGCGGCAACCCUUUCCAUAGGAAGAACAUCGCAGGAGGACAGCACUAUGAGGGUGUUCCAAGCAUAUGGGGCACCUGACUUCUUCCCAUUCAUUCACAUCCUUGUUCGCAUCGUUGUCUAGUCCGGUGAGGUUUUUGUAUUUGUCUUGCUUGGCAGUCUUGGAACAUGAAGGAACAGGACAUGUCCUAGAUUGAUGAUGAUGCAUGGAUCGAAUUCUUCUGUCCUUCGGCAUUGUAUAAUGUUACGGUGUAAUUAAAAUUCUUCAAUGUGUGAAAGUAAUUCCUCUAGUA